Molecule: unclassified non-coding RNA, 361 nt
Filed under: uncultured bacterium
Lineage: Bacteria
Description: contains 16S-23S intergenic spacer region
Source: RNAcentral
UCCCAAUUAUCUCGGGCAGUCCCCUGUGACAUGUAAAACACAGGGCAAGGGUUACGUUCGUUACCCGAAUUAACGGUACGUCUCAAGACACGAACUGACGACAACCAUGCAGCACCUGCCCAACUGUCUUGCGAAGUUCUACUUUCAUAGAAUGGUCAGUUGGGUUUCUAGCCUAGGUAAGGUUCUUCGUUUGUUGUCGAAUUAAGCCACAUGGUCCACUACUUGUGUGAGUCCCCGUCUAUUCCUUUGAGUUUUAAACUUGCGUUCGUACUUCCCAGGCGGGAUGCUUAACGCGUUAGCUUCGACACUGGCAGGGUCGACACUGCCAAUAUCCAGCAUCCAUCGUUUACAGCGUGGACUA